AUUGAACGCUGGCGGAAUGCUUUACACAUGCAAGUCGAACGGUAGAGGGGGCAACCCCUCGAGAGUGGCGAACGGGUGAGUGAUAUAUCGGAACGUGCCCAGUCGUGGGGGAUAACGUAGCGAAAGUUACGCUAAUACCGCAUACGAUCUAAGGAUGAAAGCGGGGGAUCGCAAGACCUCGCGCGAUUGGAGCGGCCGAUAUCAGAUUAGGUAGUUGGUGGGGUAAAGGCUCACCAAGCCAACGAUCUGUAGCUGGUCUGAGAGAACGACCAGCCACACUGGAACUGAGGCACGGUCCAGACUCCUACGGGAGGCAGCAGUGGGGAAUUUUGGACAAUGGGCGCAAGUCUGAUCCAGCCAUUCCGCGUGCAGGAUGAAGGCCCUCGGGUUGUAAACUGCUUUUGUACGGAACGAAAAGGUCUCUCUUAAUACGGGGGGCUCAUGACGGUACCGUAAGAAUAAGCACCGGCUAACUACGUGCCAGCAGCCGCAGUAA
RNAcentral lists this ribosomal RNA (496 nucleotides) under uncultured bacterium. RNAcentral's name for it is "partial 16S ribosomal RNA". It matches the Rfam family "Bacterial small subunit ribosomal RNA", at positions 30 to 523 of the family's 1533-position model. The record is from RNAcentral.